CGCGCACGGUAUUGGGUGUCUUAAUUGCGUAAUUUGUAACACUUGAAGAAGAGCGCUUAUAGUUUUUUGUCAUUUUUCGCAUUUUGUCUGCACGUAUUUUCCCGAAAUUUUGCACAUCGCUUCUAUGACGUCAUAUGAUGAUGUCAAUAAAAAAUUCAUUUCAAUAAAAUCAGAAAAUGGCAGUUUAUGGGCGUCCGUAGAAGCGGUCAAAUUUUGUAACAUGUUGUGAUUUAAAGACAAAAUCAGACAAAAUGGAAUAUUUGGAAACGAAUUCAACCCUUUCGUCAACAGAAAGAAUAAAAAUUAAUAAAGAUAAGAAAAAAGAGAAAAGAAGAGAACAGAAACGUAGGAGUUAUAAAAUACAUCAAUACAGAAAAAGUCCCAAAUCUACCAAAACCUAUAGUAAGACUGAAAGUGCUAUUAAACAGAGAGCAUACAAUGAAAGAAAAAAGCAAGAAAAAGUUCAAGAAAAAAGAAAUAAAACGAAAGAGAAGAGAAUAUAUGAAAAUGUACAGACAACGGACAAGACUACACGAUGCUUCUAAUGACGAAGAACAACUUUUUUCUAACAGGAUGGAAAAGGCUAGAACAAUAAAAAGACUUAAGGAAGCUCUACCAAAAAAUUCGAGCAAACGUGCAGCUGUAAUUUCCGCUUAUAUAGAUAAAAAAAAGAGUGUCAAAGUCACCAGCGGUUGAAAAAUUUCACUCUUCACUCAACGACAGUUUAGAGAAAUCUGCCCUAGAAAAUGUUAAAGAAAUCAUC
Molecule: long non-coding RNA, 763 nt
Organism: Saccostrea cuccullata (small rock oyster)
Lineage: Eukaryota; Metazoa; Mollusca; Bivalvia; Ostreida; Ostreidae
Exons: 3
Source: RefSeq, a predicted model, not a curated record